This 510-nucleotide ribosomal RNA is filed under the name Sisyra nigra. Its description in RNAcentral is "partial 16S ribosomal RNA". It matches the Rfam family "Bacterial large subunit ribosomal RNA", at positions 1833 to 2597 of the family's 2925-position model. Lineage: Eukaryota; Metazoa; Arthropoda; Insecta; Neuroptera; Sisyridae. The record is from RNAcentral.
UUUUUGAUAUUAAUUUAAAGUCAGGCCUGCCCACUGAAAUUUUUAAAGGGCCGCGGUAUUUUGACUGUGCAAAGGUAGCAUAAUCAUUUGUCUUUUAAUUGAAGGCUGGAAUGAAUGGUUUGAUGAAAUAUUAACUGUCUCAAUUUAAUAAAAUUAAAAAUUUAAUAUUUAAGUUAAAAAGCUUAAAUUUAAUUAAAAGACGAGAAGACCCUAUAGAUCUUUAUUAUUAAAAAUUUAAUUUAUAUUUAGUAUAAUUAAUUAUUAAUUAAUUAUUAAUAAUUUUAUUGGGGUGAUAGGAAAAUUUAAUAAACUUUUUUUAUUUAAACCCAAAAAUUUUUGAUUUAUUGAUCCAUUUUUAGUGAUUAUAAGAUUAAGUUACCUUAGGGAUAACAGCAUAAUUAUUUUUGAGAGUUCUUAUCGAUAAAAUAGAUUGUGACCUCGAUGUUGAAUUAAAGAUUAUUUUUAGGCGUAGAAGUUUAAAAUAUAGGUCUGUUCGACCUUUAAAUCUUU